Molecule: long non-coding RNA, 453 nt
Organism: Protopterus annectens (West African lungfish)
Lineage: Eukaryota; Metazoa; Chordata; Ceratodontiformes; Protopteridae
Exons: 3
Source: RefSeq, a predicted model, not a curated record
CAGAAGAUGUUUCCUUUAAAGAGAAAAAUGAGGAUCCGAUUAUCAGUGAACCAUCAGAUAAAGAGUCUGACUUUAUAGAGGACGACAAGUAUCCAACAGGCCAAUGCAAGACCUUUAAUCAUCUGGAAAUAAUAGAAGAAUACGGGUCUGAAGAGAGCACUGAAACAACACUACAAGAAUGCGUAACUUCAGUAAAGAGAUCUGAAACACCAGUGAAACAAUCGAACUAUCCAUUGGACCGCAGAGCAUAUGAUUUUUCCAGUUUCAAUUUCUAUAGAGAAGAUUGUGAGGACUUUGAUAAUUUAGAAACACCAGAAGAUAGGUCUGACGAUGAAGAGAGGGAUACAGAAAUAUUUAGCAUUGGAACGCCAGAGAAAGAAUGCACUGCUGAAGACAAGGAGGAGGAAGAUCAAGGUCACCAUGAAUCAUAUGAUUUUUCCAGCCUCAUAUUUU